RNAcentral lists this ribosomal RNA (292 nucleotides) under uncultured bacterium. Its description in RNAcentral is "partial 16S ribosomal RNA". It matches the Rfam family "Bacterial small subunit ribosomal RNA", at positions 505 to 796 of the family's 1533-position model. The record is from RNAcentral.
GUGUCAGCCGCCGCGGUAAUACGAAGGGGGCUAGCGUUGCUCGGAAUUACUGGGCGUAAAGCGCACGUAGGCGGAUUGUUAAGUCGGGGGUGAAAUCCUGGAGCUCAACUCCAGAACUGCCUUCGAUACUGGCGAUCUCGAGUUCGGGAGAGGUGAGUGGAACUGCGAGUGUAGAGGUGAAAUUCGUAGAUAUUCGCAAGAACACCAGUGGCGAAGGCGGCUCACUGGCCCGAUACUGACGCUGAGGUGCGAAAGCGUGGGGAGCAAACAGGAUUAGAAACCCCCGUAGUCC